UCGACGCUCGCGCGCUUCCCUCCCAACAGCCCGAGCCCGCCGCCGCCGUCCGUGUCCGUCUGAAACCGGCUUCGCACCAUGUCUUCGCCUCCCGAGGGGAAGCUGGAGACGAAAGCUGGACACCCGCCCGCCGUGAAAGCUGGUGGGAUGCGAAUUGUGCAGAAACACCCGCAUUCUGGAGACACCAAAGAAGAGAAGGACAAGGACGACCAGGAGUGGGAGAGCCCCAGGUAG
This is a non-coding RNA of Odocoileus virginianus texanus, 234 nucleotides long. The record is from RefSeq and is a predicted model, not a curated record. NCBI's taxonomy places the organism in Eukaryota, Metazoa, Chordata, Mammalia, Artiodactyla, Cervidae.